This 500-nucleotide ribosomal RNA is filed under the name Isochrysis galbana. RNAcentral describes it as "LSU rRNA". It matches the Rfam family "Eukaryotic large subunit ribosomal RNA", at positions 124 to 664 of the family's 3401-position model. The record is from RNAcentral. Lineage: Eukaryota; Haptophyta; Isochrysidales; Isochrysidaceae.
GAGGCCUUUGCGCCCCCUGAAUUGUGGUCUAGAGAGGCGCCUUCGGGCGCGCGCGCCGCUCAAGUCCCUUGGAAGAGGGUAUCGGAGAGGGUGAGAAUCCCGUACCGUGGCCGCGCGCGCCCUCACGAUGCGUGCUCGUCGAGUCGGGUUGCUUGGGAUUGCAGCUUGAAGUGGGUGGUAAAUUCCAUCUAAAGCUAAAUACUGGCGAGAGACCGAUAGCGAACAAGUACCGUGAGGGAAAGAUGCAAAGAACUUUGAAAAGAGAGUCAAAGAGUGCUUGAAAUCGGCAGGAGGAAACCCGGAUGGGCCCGGCUUCGGCGCGCCGACUCAGCCGCCCGCUCGGGGCGGUGCACUUUGUCGCGCCGGGUCAGCCGCCGCUCUGCGCGCGUCACAAGCGGGGAGUAGGGCUCCGGCGAGCUCCCCCUCUGCCUCUCGCGGGGCGCCGGCUGACGGAACGGGCCCCUCCGACCCGUCUUGAAACACCGGNCAGGAUCGGAAAG